AGCGAACGCUGGCGGCAGGCCUAACACAUGCAAGUCGAGCGCACCUUCGGGUGAGCGGCGGACGGGUUAGUAACGCGUGGGAACAUACCCUUUUCUACGGAAUAGCCUCGGGAAACUGAGAGUAAUACCUUAUACGCCCUUUGGGGGAAAGAUUUAUCGGAGAAGGAUUAGCCCGCGUUAGAUUAGGUAGUUGGUGGGGUAAUGGCCUACCAAGCCUACGAUCUAUAGCUGGUUUGAGAGGAUGAUCAGCCACACUGGGACUGAGACACGGCCCAGACUCCUACGGGAGGCAGCAGUAGGGAAUCUUAGACAAUGGGGGCAACCCUGAUCUAGCCAUGCCGCGUGUGUGAUGAAGGCCCUAGGGUCGUAAAGCACUUUCGCCAGAGAUGAUAAUGACAGUAUCUGGUAAAGAAACCCCGGCUAACUCCGUGCCAGCAGCCGCGGUAAUACGGAGGGGGUUAGCGUUGUUCGGAAUUACUGGGCGUAAAGCGCACGUAGGCGGAUUAGUAAGUUAGAGGUGAAAUCCCAGGGCUCAACCCUGGAACUGCCUUUAAUACUGCUAGUCUUGAGUUCGAGAGAGGUAAGUGGAAUUCCGAGUGUAGAGGUGAAAUUCGUA
This 616-nucleotide ribosomal RNA is filed under the name uncultured Alphaproteobacteria bacterium. RNAcentral's name for it is "bacterial SSU rRNA". It matches the Rfam family "Bacterial small subunit ribosomal RNA", at positions 28 to 692 of the family's 1533-position model. The record is from RNAcentral. Lineage: Bacteria; Pseudomonadati; Pseudomonadota; Alphaproteobacteria.